RNAcentral lists this unclassified non-coding RNA (3549 nucleotides) under Hevea brasiliensis (rubber tree). The record is from RNAcentral. Lineage: Eukaryota; Viridiplantae; Streptophyta; Magnoliopsida; Malpighiales; Euphorbiaceae.
GCCUGGGUUAGGGGUGAGCAAACUUCAGUUAUAGUUGAAAAAUCAAAUUGAACCGUUUUAAUUUUGGUUUAAACGGUUUGGUUUUCAUUUUAUAGAAAUUUUGGUCUUUUAAAAGGACCAAUAAUUGAACUGAUCGAUUUUUUGGGCUUAUUAAACAGGCUGCUAUUUUAUUAAAUAGACCUCCAAAUAACCCAAAAGUUUUUGGGGGAGAUUACAGAAAGAUAAAGCUACCAUUUCCUCUGUAGAAUGUACUUUCCUAGCCCAUAACUUUUGUUUUUCCAGUGAUUCUUGUAACCCAUGGGAUGGCCAUAAAUGUGGAGGCUUAUUCCCUCAAUUGCUUGAUGCAAUGGCGAUAAAAUAGAAAAUGUGCCAUGGACUCUGCUGCAAUAUAGUGAAGAAAGCACCCAGUAACCAAAAUCUGCCCCUUUUUUUGAAGGUUUCCCAUGUUGCUUCCAAGUUAUAAAAGGCCACCUCCGAAGGGGCCCCACACUUCCAAAUUAUGUUCAUGGAAACUGUAUUAUUGGCUCUACAAUUUCAAAUUCUACCUAUUUCUCUCAAAAACGACAUUCCAAAUUAUUCUGAGAUGCAACAGUUCAGCACAUCUUCUCUCCUCCAUGCCUUCAAGAAGAUAUUUGGGAAUUUGUCCUUGAAAGAAAAUUCUAAGCUUUAAUCUUCAUGCUGAAAGGAAGUUAGUGUUCUCAUUUGCCAUAUUAAAAGUCAGCAUUCAGCAUUGUUGCAUUUUGGCACCUUUAUUAUUUAUCAGUAGCUUUUCACUUUGGAAAAGCUCCCUUACAACAUCAAGAUAUCGCCAUAUCAGUUUGGUAUUUCCAAUCUUUAUUUAACUACUAUUUAAUGUGCAGUAGUAGACAUGAUUUAUGUUGUUAUUUCGGUACUUUCUCAAAUUUUCAGUAUGUGUUUAUGUAAAUUGUCUGUAAAUAUUUGUUGUUCUUUAAUUAAUGUGGUUGACUAAUAAUUUGUCAUUUUUCUUGAAGCUUUCCUUCCCUUUCAUGUGAAUUUGCAUCAGUUGAUGUGAGUGAUGUGUUGGGAACUAACAGGUUGAAUAUAACAAAAACAAUCCGCAAAUUUUCAAUAGAUCAUGAUCUAAGGCCCACUGGCUCUGAGUUUCACUCAGGGCCAGUUUUGCAUGACAUUAACCAUGGAGAUGAAUUUGAUGGAGUAGUUAGUGAAGGGUCUGUGUCACUAACUGGUCGUAAUUUUGAUCAAUACGCGCAUCAGUAUCCAAUUUUGGUUGUCAACUUUUAUGCACCUUGGUGCUACUGGAGUAAUCGUCUGAAAUCUUCAUGGGAAAGUGCUGCUAAUACAAUGAGAGAAAGAUAUGAUCCAGAACUAGAUGGACGCAUUAUUUUGGGGAGGGUUGAUUGCACUGAAGAAGUUGAUUUGUGUAGGAGGCAUCACAUACAAGGUUAUCCCUCCAUUCGCAUUUUUCGUAAAGGAAGUGAUGUCAAGUAUGUUUUCUUUUUUAAUUUUACUUUUCCCUUGGUUUUCUUUUUCUUAUAUUAUGUAUAUUUUCUUUAGCAUGUUAUGCUAAGGCAUUUCCUAUUGCAUAUUCUCUCUUCUUCAGAUUUAUCAUUGAUCUAAUUGCAUUUUCAUCAAAGCUCCCUUACAUUAUGGCUGUUUCAUGUAUUCUUAAAGAACUUUAUAGAGCUCUUAUGCUAGGGACAUACUGUACCAACUUUUUUCUGCCUGUUUAUGUAGCUAUAGAACUGUAUUGAGGUUGCAAUGUAUGCAUACUAUUACAAAUCUCUUCUUCUUCUUUUGUUUUUUGAUGUGUUUUGCCCAGUUUGUAUAUCCAUAACAUGUUUUCAUCAUCAUGGUUGCAUGCAUGGUUUGUGUUAUAUGUUUUUUUUUCCUUUCUUGGAUCUCUUUUAAUAUGCAUGGAUGUGGAUUCAGCUUUGUGUUUGACUAAGAUAUGCUCAAAAUGGGGUUCAGCCUUUGACCAGUGUGUCUUUCACGUUUCAAUUACCUUUUUCUUUUGUGUUUUUGGACUUGCCAUGGAGCAUUGCUGCAUGCACUCGAAUAUCUACUAACCAAAGUUCAGUUUAACCAUUAUUUACAUGACUGAUUUUGCAAGUUUAGGUUUUCUAAAUCUGAAUCAUGUUCAGAUACUUAAAACCAGCUGCAACAUGAUUUUCUGGAGCAUAUAUCUAUUGUUGUCAAAAUGAUUACCUUUUGAAAACUUCACCACCCUUUUGUUUUUCCUUUCUGAAUCAGUUAAUUAGAAUUCCCAAAUUUAUCGUUCCGGUUUUAAGGCAAAAAUACUAUUCAAUAUUGGAAGUAAAAAAAUUGAAGCUUAGAUCUUUGAAAUAAGUAAAUGUAUAAACAGUCGUACAACAAAUAAAACAAUAAACAAGGGGUGAAAUUCAAGGAAUUUUUAUGCCAUGUUUAGUAACGGGCCUGCCUAACAUUUUUCAAUGUUCCCAUUCUUGUUGACCCAAGGGAAUGCAUUGCACAGUAGAACACAAUUUAUGUUUUAAUGCUAGAUUCUGGUUUAAAUGGUACAUACUUAAUUACUAAAUAUGACAAUAUAGUUAUCUCCUCCCCCCCUCUCCUCUCCUAAUAAAUAUAUAGAGAUCACGUGGUUUCUUCAUCAAUCUGGAUUUUAUAUUAGUGGUUUCAUUUGUCAACCUUGUUACUUGAUGUUUCAACUGUCACAGAGAGGACCAUGGACACCAUGAUCAUGAAUCCUAUUAUGGAGAUCGAGAUACAGAAAGCCUGCUUAAGACAAUGGAAGGAUUGAUUGCACCUCUUCCAAUAGAAUCUCAUAAAUCUGAUAAUUCAACGCAGAAUGCCAAAAGACCAGCACCUAUGACAGGAGGAUGUAGAAUUGAAGGAUAUGUGCGUGUAAAGAAGGUUCCAGGCAACCUCAUCAUCUCAGCUCGCUCAGGGUCACAUUCCUUCGAUCCUUCUCUAAUGAACAUGUCACAUGUCAUAUCCCAUCUUUCAUUUGGCAUGAAUGUUUCGCCCAAGUUGAUGAAUGAGGCAAAGCGAUUGAUGCCUUAUAUUGGUAGAAGUCAUGACAAGUUGAAUGGGCGGUCAUUCAUUAAUCACCGUGAUGUGGAUGCCAAUGUUACUAUUGAGCAUUACCUGCAAAUAGUUAAAACAGAAGUGGUUGCAAGACGAUCUUCUCGUGAGUAUAAAUUGCUUGAAGAAUAUGAAUACACAGCCCACAGCAGUUUGGUGCAGAGUGUAUACAUACCUGUUGCGAAAUUCCAUUUUGAGCUCUCUCCCAUGCAGGUCCUAAUCACAGAAAAUCCAAAAUCAUUUUCGCAUUUUAUCACCAAUGUCUGUGCCAUAAUUGGGGGUGUUUUCACGGUUGCUGGGAUUUUGGAUUCAAUUUUGCACAACACAAUUAGAAUGAUGAAAAAAGUUGAAUUAGGCAAAAAUUAUUGAUAGGAAGAUGAAAUUUGUAGGUGUAUAAAAAAAAUUCUGAUUUUUUACACUCAUUUGUUAGAAAAUAUUGUUAAGAACAGUUGCACUGUAUUACGCUUUUGAUAUAUGCAAAGCAUGAGUUAUUAUAAUUGCCGAUGC